GCCUUCGUGGUGUAAUGGUCAGCACACUGAGCCGGUAAUUCAGAGGUCCGCGGUUCGAUCCCCGGCGAAGGCG
Non-coding RNA from Stegodyphus mimosarum, 73 nucleotides. NCBI's taxonomy places the organism in Eukaryota, Metazoa, Arthropoda, Arachnida, Araneae, Eresidae. The record is from Rfam.